AGCAGCUUCCUCUGGCCAGCAUGGUGUCCACAGCCCAGAACCUGGCACUAGGAGAUUCCUGGAGAAAAUGGGUACCAAGUCCACAGGAAGAAGUAAGUUCUUGGAUAGAUCCAGUGCAAGGUCAGUUUGCCUUAGCAGAGCACCAGAGUUCAGCAAAAGAAUGAACAUGUUCUAAUGUCAAGAUCACUCACUUUGGGAGAAGCCAACCACCAUGCCAGUAGAUACUCGAGAUGCCCAACAAAAGUGACCACAUGGUGAGAAACUAAGGCCCCUUACCCAUAACCAGCACUAAUUCGCCAUGUAAGUCACCUUGGAAUUGGAUCCUCCAGCCUUGGUCUAGUCCUCAGAUGACUGCAACCACACACAGCUACCACGUUGACUGCAAUCUCAAAAAAAGAC
RNAcentral lists this long non-coding RNA (399 nucleotides) under Homo sapiens (human). Its description in RNAcentral is "HSALNT0329225". Lineage: Eukaryota; Metazoa; Chordata; Mammalia; Primates; Hominidae. The record is from RNAcentral.